GAACCUGCGAGGAUGGCAGCGGUGUCCAGCAGUGAAGACUGAAGGUGUCCACAGCUGUGAUAGGGGCUUCUGGGUCCUCUUGCUUGCUUUUCUUCACAGGAAGAAGUCCCUCCUAGCUCCUAGGGGGUUUGAUUGUGAGCGGCAAGGGUGUGGCAGAGUAACCAAAUUCACCCUGUCUGUGGCAAACAAGCGCCACCACUACCAUCCCAGAGUGCCACCAUCUGCACUGACUUGAGGAAUUCCAGUUUGAUGAUAGCAGUUUUCACCCUAACUCUUGACCAGUAAAGAACCACCAUGGAACGCUUCAAGGAUGCUGAGUGCUUCCUUCAUGAAUUUAUUUCCACAUCUUUGAUAAAGGGCAUAUUCUGUUAACCCUCCUCGAGGACACAGGAAGGGAGAAGAAUGAAGAAGAAAAAAGAAGGGAUAAUGCAGCAUGAAGGUCCUUGU
RNAcentral lists this long non-coding RNA (447 nucleotides) under Homo sapiens (human). Its description in RNAcentral is "HSALNT0325933". Lineage: Eukaryota; Metazoa; Chordata; Mammalia; Primates; Hominidae. The record is from RNAcentral.